UGCUACUUUGCCGGCGAGCGGCGGACGGGUGAGUAAUGUCUGGGAAACUGCCUGAUGGAGGGGGAUAACUACUGGAAACGGUAGCUAAUACCGCAUAACGUCGCAAGACCAAAGAGGGGGACCUUCGGGCCUCUUGCCAUCAGAUGUGCCCAGAUGGGAUUAGCUAGUAGGUGGGGUAACGGCUCACCUAGGCGACGAUCCCUAGCUGGUCUGAGAGGAUGACCAGCCACACUGGAACUGAGACACGGUCCAGACUCCUACGGGAGGCAGCAGUGGGGAAUAUUGCACAAUGGGCGCAAGCCUGAUGCAGCCAUGCCGCGUGUAUGAAGAAGGCCUUCGGGUUGUAAAGUACUUUCAGCGGGGAGGAAGGUGCUGAGGUUAAUAACCUCAGCAAUUGACGUUACCCGCAGAAGAAGCACCGGCUAACUCCGUGCCAGCAGCCGCGGUAAUACGGAGGGUGCAAGCGUUAAUCGGAAUUACUGGGCGUAAAGCGCACGCAGGCGGUCUGUCAAGUCGGAUGUGAAAUCCCCGGGCUCAACCUGGGAACUGCAUUCGAAACUGGCAGGCUAGAGUCUUGUAGAGGGGGGUAGAAUUCCAGGUGUAGCGGUGAAAUGCGUAGAGAUCU
Molecule: ribosomal RNA, 625 nt
Filed under: Enterobacter asburiae
Lineage: Bacteria; Pseudomonadati; Pseudomonadota; Gammaproteobacteria; Enterobacterales; Enterobacteriaceae
Description: bacterial SSU rRNA
Rfam family: Bacterial small subunit ribosomal RNA
Source: RNAcentral